This 301-nucleotide ribosomal RNA is filed under the name uncultured bacterium. Its description in RNAcentral is "partial 16S ribosomal RNA". It matches the Rfam family "Bacterial small subunit ribosomal RNA", at positions 509 to 809 of the family's 1533-position model. The record is from RNAcentral.
CAGCAGCCGCGGUAAUACGGAGGGUGCAAGCGUUAAUCGGAAUUACUGGGCGUAAAGCGCACGCAGGCGGUCUGUCAAGUCAGAUGUGAAAUCCCCGGGCUUAACCUGGGAACUGCAUUUGAAACUGGCAGGCUAGAGUCUUGUAGAGGGGGGUAGAAUUCCAGGUGUAGCGGUGAAAUGCGUAGAGAUCUGGAGGAAUACCGGUGGCGAAGGCGGCCCCCUGGACAAAGACUGACGCUCAGGUGCGAAAGCGUGGGGAGCAAACAGGAUUAGAUACCCCUGUAGUCCCUGUCUCUUAUAA